Molecule: RNA transcript, 1030 nt
Organism: Triticum dicoccoides
Lineage: Eukaryota; Viridiplantae; Streptophyta; Magnoliopsida; Poales; Poaceae
Gene name: dnaJ homolog subfamily B member 1-like
Exons: 4
Source: RefSeq, a predicted model, not a curated record
CUGCAGCUGCGGCUGCGGCUAGCUAAUCUAGCCUAGCCUAGCUAGCACCAAGUUGCUGCUCGAUCAUGUCUAGUUGGGCUGCCCCCGCCUGCCUGCCUGCCCGGUUGCUGGUGCAAGAUACCGAGGAGGCGGACGGGAAGGGGACGGUGAGGUGACAUAGACAUACACCCCCCCGGCCCCCGCCGUCGGCGACCUGCCUCCUGUCCAGCCUAUAAGUAGGCGGCCAUGCGCUAGCUGCGACAGACAAGAGAGAGAGAGAGACACCCACACCCACACCCACACAAGAAGGGAAGCGACUGAGCAUCCAAGGUAAGGUCGUUGUUGGUUGCAAUGGCCGGCUGCGGAGGCAAGGAUGGCCUGUACGCCGUGCUCGGCGUCUCCAGCGACUGCUCCGACGCAGAGCUGCGCAGCGCCUACAGGAAGCUCUCCAUGAAAUGGCACCCGGACAAAUGCGGCUCCGGCGGCGUGGAGGCUCCGGCUAGCUGCGACAGACAAAUGAGGAGACAUACUGGGAGACAUCCUGGAGGCCAUGAACCACACACCCCCACACGUAAGUGAGAGUCAAGUCACGCUGCUGCUGCUGCUGCUGCUGCUUAUAGUUAUACCAGUAGAUAUCAUGAAGGAAGACGGCGACGGCGAGAGCUCGGACGAUCUGCACAAGCAGUUCGAGGAGCUCUUCCUCAAGCCCGACGCAGCCUACUCCUCCUCCUCCUCCUCCUCCUCCUCCAAGACAAGGGCCGCCGGCAGGAAGUAGGCUCCCAAGAUGAAUGAAUCAUCUUCAUGCGUGGUCGUGGAGAUUUCAUCCGUCAGAAUAGAUCAUGUCAUGCUAGGCUAUUGCUAGCUAUCCACGGAGAAUGACCCAAAUUAAUGUUGAAUGUUCAGCUAGAGUAGCAUAAUACGUAUAGCCUAGUAGUCACUAAAUGAAAAAUUUAUUUAGGCGUCAUGCAUCCACACCUGCCUAGACUAUGAUUUUCCACCUAGCUUGUGAUUGUGAUUUCUAAUACGACUAUGCGUGAAUUCAAUAACAUUU